GAUGAACGCUAGCGGCAGGCCUAACACAUGCAAGUCGAGGGGUAGAAGGAGCUUGCUCCUUUGAGACCGGCGCACGGGUGCGUAACGCGUAUGCAAUCUACCUUGUACAGGGGAAUAGCCCAGAGAAAUUUGGAUUAAUGCCCCAUAGUAUAUAACCUUCGCAUGUUGGUUAUAUUAAAGUUCCAACGGUACAAGAUGAGCAUGCGUCCCAUUAGUUAGUUGGUAAGGUAACGGCUUACCAAGACGAUGAUGGGUAGGGGUCCUGAGAGGGAGAUCCCCCACACUGGUACUGGGACACGGACCAGACUCCUACGGGAGGCAGCAGUGAGGAAUAUUGGUCAAUGGUCGCAAGACUGAACCAGCCAUGCCGCGUGCAGGAAGACGGUCCUAUGGAUUGUAAACUGCUUUUAUACAAGAAGAAACCCUCCCACGUGUGGGAGCUUGACGGUACUGUAGGAAUAAGGAUCGGCUAACUCCGUG
RNAcentral lists this ribosomal RNA (480 nucleotides) under uncultured bacterium. RNAcentral's name for it is "partial 16S ribosomal RNA". It matches the Rfam family "Bacterial small subunit ribosomal RNA", at positions 28 to 507 of the family's 1533-position model. The record is from RNAcentral.